UUAUUCUCCAGGGUCCAUAAGGUAAUAUUGCAUUGCCCAUCAGUUCUGAUACCUACCAUUCUAACAUGAAAUACUCAAGUCAGCCUCUCCAUAUGUUAACUCUUUGCUGCAGUAUAUCUUUGCUGCACAAAAAUUCUUAGCAAUGAUUUUCCAAAUGGGUAGCAAGAAAAAGUAAAUUUGAUCAAAUGCUGUUAUCCAGAUGUGCUGAAUAAAAGAAGUGAAUGCUGCAGGGGCUGACAAAUCACUCAGCUUAGAAUCAUUUAGCCUGGAGCAAUAUUAUGGGGCCAAGAUAAUAAUUCUACAUGCUGCUACAGUUCUGAAUCUAUGUAUGAGCUUGUGGGACCUAUUGACUUGAGAGCAACUUACCAACUGAUGUGCAUGGUGAAGAUGUAGUCCUUGAUCAUUCAACAUAAUCAGGAUAGACUUUGCUCCUUGAUGCUUCGUUGCCUGAAUGUGCUAAAGUAUUCAAAAAAAAAAAAAAUGUUUUCCCCCAUAUAUGCAAUUUCAAAACUUUGUCUCAAUAUGUUGGUUUUCAGUUUCCUGCUCUGAUGAAUCUGAAAUACCCUGGAUCUGACACGCUGUCACUUGAUUUCAGGAAUGAAGUUGUUCAAAUUGAUAGAAGAUUUUUUCCCCACAACUGUCACUCUGUAUUGAGGUUCGUGGAGUUUCAUUUUUAUUGGGAAGUUGAAAAGAAAAGAAAAGAAAAGAAGAG
This is a long non-coding RNA of Podarcis raffonei (Aeolian wall lizard), 712 nucleotides long. RefSeq lists it as uncharacterized. The transcript is spliced from 2 exons. NCBI's taxonomy places the organism in Eukaryota, Metazoa, Chordata, Lepidosauria, Squamata, Lacertidae. The record is from RefSeq and is a predicted model, not a curated record.